This is a non-coding RNA of Kogia breviceps (pygmy sperm whale), 1076 nucleotides long. Lineage: Eukaryota; Metazoa; Chordata; Mammalia; Artiodactyla; Physeteridae. The record is from RefSeq and is a predicted model, not a curated record.
CCCUGCCCCGCCUCCGGAGGCGGAACCCCGCCCCCUCCGCUCAGUGGCCCCUGACGCCGCCAUCUUGGGAAGGUCGCCGCCUGGCCGGGUGCCGGGGCCUCGGCGGGAGACGCCCCGCGGACGCCAUGACAAAGAGGUCGCGGAGAGUCAAGACAGCACCUCCGGGGCGAAGCAGGUGGUUUGAGAGUGAAGGGGCCAAAAGAAGUGGUAGAUGCCUAGUUGUUGGCGAGCGCCCAACAGCUAUCUAACGCUCCACACAUGGUGUGCGAAUUAGUCAUUGUUAAAGCCGAACUUAGUACUGGUGUGCCCCAUUUUAAGCACACCCCCAAAAUAGACUUCAGAUAUGCUGGUAAUUCACUUUACAGAAAGUUGCACAAAAAGAUUCUUGAAAUAAGUAAAAUGUUCUGCAUCUCAUAGCACAAAAUGUUUAAACAUCGUUAAUAACCUCUAUGUGUAAAGUGAGUUGAGAUUACCAAAAUCUGAUAUACACGGUACAAAAUAUCCAGAAGGGCAUCUACUAUGUAAAGUCUAAGUGUGGGAACUAGGGUUUGGAAAAAGCAACCUUACCCCGCUCUACCUCUUCUCAUCCUCAUCCCCACAGCUUUCUGCCUUGCAUAACAGAGUCUUAAUAAAGAGACGGAGCAGAGGAAAAAUGAUACCUAAUGGCACUCAAAUGUACCUGUUCCUUCAAAAAUAUUUACUGAACCUGCAUUAACUUUGCACCUGAACUGUAGAAGACACAGAGAACACAGCUCUGUUCCUAUCCUCAAAGGUCUGACAGUCUCUGUGAGCUCCAGAGCCCGGGAGCCACAGCUACUGAGCCCGCGUGCCCCAACUACUGAAGCCCGCGCACCUAGAGCUGGUGCUCUGCAACAAGAGAAGCCACCACAAUAAGAAGCCCACGCACUACAACAAAGAGUAGCCCCCUCGCUGCAACUAGAGAAAGCCCACGUGCAGAAGAAAAAAAAAAAGUGAAUCUGCAUAAAAACAUAAAUCUACCAUUUAGAAAAAGGUGAAUCUGGACUCCUUUGGGAAACAACUCCUUGGAGCUAACCCAGGUUUUGUGAAGCCUAAAA